This 234-nucleotide unclassified non-coding RNA is filed under the name Hevea brasiliensis (rubber tree). The record is from RNAcentral. Lineage: Eukaryota; Viridiplantae; Streptophyta; Magnoliopsida; Malpighiales; Euphorbiaceae.
AUAAAAAUAAAUUUCAAAUUCAACGGGCAUGCGAAAAUUCAGAUAUGUUCAUUUCAAUUCUCAGAUACAGAAAUGGCAAAGGGAAACCCUAAACCGUCUCAGGAGAGGUGAAGGUGAAGGCAAAUCGGUUUGGUUGGUGGGAAAAUUGUUCGAAGGAAGAUGCAUUUCAUAGAAUAGACGCAGCAUUUGGGAAUUUUAUUUUAUUUUUUGCAAGCAAUGGCUUCCGACGCUAGC